RNAcentral lists this ribosomal RNA (520 nucleotides) under uncultured Glomus. Its description in RNAcentral is "SSU rRNA". It matches the Rfam family "Eukaryotic small subunit ribosomal RNA", at positions 569 to 1090 of the family's 1831-position model. The record is from RNAcentral. Lineage: Eukaryota; Fungi; Glomeromycota; Glomeromycetes; Glomerales; Glomeraceae.
AGCAGCCGCGGUAAUUCCAGCUCCAAUAGCGUAUAUUUAAGUUGUUGCAGUUAAAAAGCUCGUAGUUGAAUUUCGGGGUUAGUAGGUUGGUCAUGCCUCUGGUAUGUACUGGUCUCACUGAUUCCUCCUUCCUGAUGAGCCGUAAUGCCAUUAAUUUGGUGUUGCGGGGAAUUUGGACUGUUACUUUGAAAAAAUUAGAGUGUUUAAAGCAGGCUCACGCUUGAAUACAUUAGCAUGGAAUAAUGAAAUAGGACGUUUGAUUCUAUUUUGUUGGUUUCUAGGAUCGAUGUAAUGAUUAAUAGGGAUAGUUGGGGGCAUUAGUAUUCAAUUGUCAGAGGUGAAAUUCUUGGAUUUAUUGAAGACUAACUACUGCGAAAGCAUUUGCCAAGGAUGUUUUCAUUAAUCAAGAACGAAAGUUAGGGGAUCGAAGACGAUCAGAUACCGUCGUAGUCUUAACCAUAAACUGUGCCGACUAGGGAUCGGAUGAUGUUAAUUUUUUAAUGACUCAUUCGGCGCCUUA